CCUACGGGAGGCAGCAGUGAGGAAUAUUGGUCAAUGGCCGGAAGGCUGAACCAGCCAUGCCGCGUGAAGGUCAGUGCCCUAUGGGCGUUAAACUUCUUUUGUGCGGGAGCAAUAAUGGUCACGUGUGGCCAGACGAGAGUACCGUACGAAUAAGCAUCGGCUAACUACGUGCCAGCAGCCGCGGUAAUACGGGGGAUGCAAGCGUUAUCCGGAUUUAUUGGGGUUAAAGGGUGCGUAGGCUGUGAGGUAAGUCAGCGGUGAAAAGCCCCCGGUCAAAGGGGGGAAGUGCCAUUGAUACUGCCUUGCUGGAAUGCGGAUGCAGUGGGAGGAAUGUGUGGUGUAGCGGGGAAAUGCAUAGAUAUCACACAGAACACCGAUUGCGAAGGCAUCUCACGAAUCCGCGAUUGACGCUGAUGCACGAAAGCGUGGGUAUCAAACAGGAUUAGAUACCCCAGUAGUC
RNAcentral lists this ribosomal RNA (460 nucleotides) under uncultured bacterium. Its description in RNAcentral is "partial 16S ribosomal RNA". It matches the Rfam family "Bacterial small subunit ribosomal RNA", at positions 338 to 795 of the family's 1533-position model. The record is from RNAcentral.